Molecule: unclassified non-coding RNA, 338 nt
Filed under: soil metagenome
Description: partial contains 5.8S ribosomal RNA, internal transcribed spacer 2, and large subunit ribosomal RNA
Rfam family: 5.8S ribosomal RNA (bases 1-120)
Source: RNAcentral
GAUGAAGAACGUAGCGAAAUGCGAUAAGUAAUGUGAAUUGCAGAAUUCCGUGAAUCAUCGAAUCUUUGAACGCACAUUGCGCCCGCCAGUAUUCUGACGGGCAUGCCUGUUCGAGCGUCAUUUCAACCAUCAAGCCCCCGGCUUGUGUUGGGGACCUGCGGCUGCCGCAGGCCCUGAAAUCCAGUGGCGGGCUCGCCGUAGCACCGAGCGUAAUAGCACACUUCUCGCUCCGGUAGCAGCGGCGGGCGCUUGCCGUAAAACCCCCCCUAAAAUCUCAAGGUUGACCUCGGAUCAGGUAGGAAUACCCGCUGAACUUAAGCAUAUCAAUAAGCGGAGGA